This 486-nucleotide ribosomal RNA is filed under the name uncultured bacterium. RNAcentral describes it as "partial 16S ribosomal RNA". It matches the Rfam family "Bacterial small subunit ribosomal RNA", at positions 30 to 507 of the family's 1533-position model. The record is from RNAcentral.
AUUGAACGCUGGCGGCAUGCCUUACACAUGCAAGUCGAACGGCAGCACGGGUGCUUGCACCUGGUGGCGAGUGGCGAACGGGUGAGUAAUACAUCGGAACAUGUCCUGUAGUGGGGGAUAGCCCGGCGAAAGCCGGAUUAAUACCGCAUACGAUCUACGGAUGAAAGCGGGGGACCUUCGGGCCUCGCGCUAUCGGGUUGGCCGAUGGCUGAUUAGCUAGUUGGUGGGGUAAAGGCCUACCAAGGCGACGAGCAGUAGCUGGUCUGAGAGGACGACCAGCCACACUGGGACUGAGACACGGCCCAGACUCCUACGGGAGGCAGCAGUGGGGAAUUUUGGACAAUGGGCGAAAGCCUGAUCCAGCAAUGCCGCGUGUGUGAAGAAGGCCUUCGGGUUGUAAAGCACUUUUGUCCGGAAAGAAAUCCUUGGCUCUAAUACAGUCGGGGGAUGACGGUACCGGAAGAAUAAGCACCGGCUAACUACGUG